RNAcentral lists this transfer RNA (72 nucleotides) under Camelus bactrianus (Bactrian camel). It matches the Rfam family "tRNA". From Rfam's summary of the family: Transfer RNA (tRNA) molecules are approximately 80 nucleotides in length. Their secondary structure includes four short double-helical elements and three loops (D, anti-codon, and T loops). The record is from Rfam by way of RNAcentral. RNAcentral also lists the same sequence under 3 other names. Lineage: Eukaryota; Metazoa; Chordata; Mammalia; Artiodactyla; Camelidae.
GAGGAUGUAACUCAGUGGUGGAGUGUGUGCUUAGCAUGCACGAGGUCCUGGGUUCACUCCAUAGUAUCUCCA